GGAGGGUGCGAGCGUUAAUCGGAAUGACUGGGCGUAAAGAGCGCGUAGGCGGCGAGAUAAGUUACAGGUAAAAUCCCCGGGCUCAACCUGGGAAGGCCCUGUAAAACUAUCUGGCUAGAAUAUAGGAGAGGGAAGUGGAAUUUCCGGUGUAGCGGUGAAAUGCGUAGAUAUCGGAAAGAACACCAGUGGCGAAGGCGGCUUUCUGGUCUAAUAUUGACGCUGAGGAGCGAAAGCGUGGGUAGCGAACAGGAUUAGAUACCCUGGUAGUCCACGCUGUAAACGAUGAGAACUAGACGCUUGGUGACUAAGGUUAGUGGGUGUUGAAGCAAACGCAUUAAGUUCUCCGCCUGGGGGAGUACGACCGCAAGGUUA
This 372-nucleotide ribosomal RNA is filed under the name uncultured organism. Its description in RNAcentral is "partial 16S ribosomal RNA". It matches the Rfam family "Bacterial small subunit ribosomal RNA", at positions 527 to 896 of the family's 1533-position model. The record is from RNAcentral.